Molecule: small nucleolar RNA, 57 nt
Filed under: Propithecus coquereli (Coquerel's sifaka)
Lineage: Eukaryota; Metazoa; Chordata; Mammalia; Primates; Indriidae
Description: Small nucleolar RNA SNORD74 (ENSPCOG00000003215.1)
Source: RNAcentral
GUAGGCAGCCUUUGAUGAAGCCUGUGUUGGUAGGGACACCUGAGGGUGAAAUGUGGC